GGCCAUGUAGCUCAGCCGGUUAGAGCACGGCACUCAUAAGGCUGGGGUCAUACGCGGUACAAUUUCGAAUUCUGGCUA
This 78-nucleotide transfer RNA is filed under the name Rhodanobacter sp. C06. RNAcentral's name for it is "tRNA-Met". Lineage: Bacteria; Pseudomonadati; Pseudomonadota; Gammaproteobacteria; Lysobacterales; Rhodanobacteraceae. The record is from RNAcentral.